UGGGGAAUAUUGCACAAUGGGCGCAAGCCUGAUGCAGCCAUGCCGCGUGUAUGAAGAAGGCCUUCGGGUUGUAAAGUACUUUCAGCGGGGAGGAAGGUGUCGAGGCUAAUAACCUCAGCAAUUGACGUUACCCGCAGAAGAAGCACCGGCUAACUCCGUGCCAGCAGCCGCGGUAAUACGGAGGGUGCAAGCGUUAAUCGGAAUUACUGGGCGUAAAGCGCACGCAGGCGGUCUGUCAAGUCGGAUGUGAAAUCCCCGGGCUCAACCUGGGAACUGCAUUCGAAACUGGCAGGCUAGAGUCUUGUAGAGGGGGGUAGAAUUCCAGGUGUAGCGGUGAAAUGCGUAGAGAUCUGGAGGAAUACCGGUGGCGAAGGCGGCCCCCUGGACAAAGACUGACGCUCAGGUGCGAAAGCGCGGGGAGCAAACA
RNAcentral lists this ribosomal RNA (427 nucleotides) under uncultured bacterium. RNAcentral describes it as "partial 16S ribosomal RNA". It matches the Rfam family "Bacterial small subunit ribosomal RNA", at positions 355 to 774 of the family's 1533-position model. The record is from RNAcentral.